GAUGGAAGAACGCAGCGAAAUGCGAUAAGUAAUGUGAAUUGCAGAAUUCAGUGAAUCAUCGAAUCUUUGAACGCAUCUUGCGCUCCUUGGUAUUCUGAGGAGCAUGCCUGUUUGAGUGUCAUCAAGUUCUCAACCUGCAUCCUUUUUUGAAGGGAUGUGGAUUUGGAUUAUGGAGUUUGCAGGCUUGAUUGAAAGGUCUGCUCCUCUGAAAUGUAUUAGUGGCAAUGUGGAAAAGCUACUGUGGGUGUGAUAACUAUCUAUGCCUAUGCAGUGCUCUGCUGUGUGCCGCUUUGGAGGGAGAAAUUUAUUUCUGACAAACUUGACCUCAAAUCAGGUAGGACUACCCGCUGAACUUAAGCAUAUCAAUAAGCGGAGGA
This 377-nucleotide unclassified non-coding RNA is filed under the name soil metagenome. RNAcentral's name for it is "partial contains 5.8S ribosomal RNA, internal transcribed spacer 2, and large subunit ribosomal RNA". The stretch from base 5 to 121 matches the Rfam family "5.8S ribosomal RNA", at positions 38 to 154 of the family's 154-position model. The record is from RNAcentral.